Molecule: transfer RNA, 73 nt
Filed under: Sphaerodactylus townsendi
Lineage: Eukaryota; Metazoa; Chordata; Lepidosauria; Squamata; Sphaerodactylidae
Description: tRNA-Ala
Rfam family: tRNA
About the family: Transfer RNA (tRNA) molecules are approximately 80 nucleotides in length. Their secondary structure includes four short double-helical elements and three loops (D, anti-codon, and T loops).
Source: RNAcentral
GGGGCUGUAGAUCAGUUGGUAGAGCAUCUGCUUGGCAGGCAUAAGAUCCUAGGUUCGAUUCUCAGCAUCUCCA